This 320-nucleotide small nuclear RNA is filed under the name Oryctolagus cuniculus (rabbit). RNAcentral's name for it is "7SK RNA". It matches the Rfam family "7SK RNA". Rfam says of the family: 7SK was discovered as an abundant small nuclear RNA in the mid-70s but a possible function has only recently been suggested. Lineage: Eukaryota; Metazoa; Chordata; Mammalia; Lagomorpha; Leporidae. The record is from Rfam by way of RNAcentral.
GGAUGUGAGGGCGAUCUGGCUGCGACAUCUGUCACCCCAUUGAUCUCCAGGGUUGAUUCGGCUGAUCUGGCUGGCUAGGCGGGUGUCCCCUUCCUCCCUCACCGCUCCAUGCGCGUCCCUCCCGAAGCUGCGUGCUCGGUCGAAGAGGAAGACCUUCCCCACUAGAGGAGGACCGGUCUUCGGUCAAGGGUUUACGAGUAGCUGUGCUCCCCUGCUAAAACCUCCAAACAAGCUCUCAAGGUCCAAAAUACCAUAAUUUCCUUGAACAUUCUUUACAAAAAGAAGCUGCCCCAAACCAAAACCAAUGUCUCCAACACUUU